Molecule: ribosomal RNA, 1164 nt
Filed under: Saccharomyces cerevisiae (brewer's yeast)
Lineage: Eukaryota; Fungi; Ascomycota; Saccharomycetes; Saccharomycetales; Saccharomycetaceae
Source: RNAcentral
AUGAAAUUAAAAUUAUUAAAUAUAAUUUUAUCAAUAAUAAAUAAACUUAAUAAUAAUAAUAAUAUUAUUAUUAAUAAUCUAUUAGAUUCAUUAAUAAAUAAGAAAUUAUUAUUAAAGAAUAUAUUAUUAGAUAUAAAUAAUAAAAAAAUAAAUAAUAUAAAAAGAAUAUUAAAUAAUAAUAAUAUAAAUAUUAAUAAUAAAUUACAACAUUUAAAUAAUAUAAAUAAUUGAAAUCUACAAAUUUAUAAUUAUAAUAAAAAUAUAGAAAUUAUAAAUACUAUAAAUGAUAAAUUAAUUAAUAAAUUAUUAUAUAAAAUAAUAACUUUAAAAUUAAAUAAUAUAAAUAUUAAUAAAAUUAUUAUAAGUAAACUUAUUAAUCAACAUAGUUUAAAUAAAUUAAAUAUUAAAUUUUAUUAUUAUAAUAAUGAUAUUAAUAAUAAUAAUAAUAAUAAUAAUAAUAAUUAUUAUAUAAAUAUAAUAAAUAAAUUAAUAAAUAUUAUAAAUAAUAAUAUAAAUAAUAAUUUAUGUAAUAUUUUAAGUUAUUAUUAUAAUAAAAAAGUAACUAUUGAACCUAUUAAAUUAUCAUAUAUUUAUUUAAAUAGUGAUAUUUUUAGUAAAUAUAUUAGUUUAAAUGAUAUAGAUAAAUAUAAUAAUGGUAUCUUAACUAAUUAUCAACGUAUAUUAAAUAAUAUUAUGCCUAAAUUAAAUGAUCAUAAUAUUUCUAUAAAUUAUAUUAAUAAUAUUAAUAAUAUUAAUAAUAAUAAAUAUAAUAAUAUAAUUAAUUUAUUAAAUAAUAAUAAUAAUAAUAAUAAUAAUAAUAUUAAUAAUAAUAAUAAUUAUAAUAAUAAUAAUAAUAAUUAUAUUGGUAAUAUUAAUAAUAUUUAUAAUAAUAUAACUAUUGAUAAUAUUCCUAUAGAUAUUUUAAUAUAUAAAUAUUUAGUUGGUUGAUCUAUUAAAUUUAAAGGUAGAUUAAGUAAUAAUAAUGGUAGAACUAGUACACUUAAUUUAUUAAAUGGUACUUUUAAUAAUAAAAAAUAUUUAUGAAGUAAUAUUAAUAAUAAUUAUAAAUUAAAUUAUAUCCCUUCUAAUCAUAAUUUAUAUAAUAAUUCUAAUAUUAAUAAAAAUGGUAAAUAUAAUAUUAAAGUUAAAUUAAACUUUAUUUAA